AUAGGACAAAUGGAAAUACAGAGGCAAGAGGAUCUGGCCAGGGUCACUGGUGGAAACAGGAGCAGAAUCCAGAACCAAAGAGAUCCUUCUUCCAACGGGAAAGAAGGGUAGGCAUUCUGGAACCCAUGGAGGACGGGCAGCUGGAUACAGGAUUCAGCUCUGGAGAUGCUGUGGGGAAGGAUUAAUCACAAGAGACAGUCAUCAAAUGAUUGCCCCUGUCUUCCUGAUGCAAGAUCCCAGCUGCUGCUUCUGGGAUCGCAUCUCUAAGUUUUCUAUAAGAGCUGGAGCCUUGCCUUUUCUUUCUCUGUAUUGCACCACGUGCAGGAAGAGACACUAGGGGUAGCAACAAACAAGCAGAGUACGGUAACAGAAUUCAUCAGCUAAUACGGAGGUUCGUGCUACCACAGCUAAAUUGCUUUCAUUACCUAGGCACCUGCACCCCUCACUGCAGUGUGGACAGGAUCUUUAGAAAGUAAAACAAAAUAAAAGAGAAAGUGGGACUUUGAUGGGUUUGCA
Molecule: long non-coding RNA, 516 nt
Filed under: Struthio camelus australis
Lineage: Eukaryota; Metazoa; Chordata; Aves; Struthioniformes; Struthionidae
Description: lncRNA (ENSSCUG00000001841.1)
Source: RNAcentral